RNAcentral lists this transfer RNA (77 nucleotides) under Shewanella hanedai. RNAcentral's name for it is "tRNA-Arg". It matches the Rfam family "tRNA". From Rfam's summary of the family: Transfer RNA (tRNA) molecules are approximately 80 nucleotides in length. Their secondary structure includes four short double-helical elements and three loops (D, anti-codon, and T loops). Lineage: Bacteria; Pseudomonadati; Pseudomonadota; Gammaproteobacteria; Alteromonadales; Shewanellaceae. The record is from RNAcentral.
GCGGAUGUAGCGCAGCUGGAUAGAGUACCUGGCUACGAACCAGGCGGUCGGAGGUUCGACUCCUCCCAUCCGCACCA